AAUUAUCUACGUAGUGAGUUAUCCCAAUUGAUUGUUCAGGGUCAGUUACAGAUCAAACUCCUUGUUCUACUUCCCCCCCCCCUCUCACUACUGCAAUUGAGUAGUAUUAA
This 110-nucleotide non-coding RNA is filed under the name Pongo abelii (Sumatran orangutan). The record is from RNAcentral. Lineage: Eukaryota; Metazoa; Chordata; Mammalia; Primates; Hominidae.